GCCUAUAGCUCAGUUGGUUAGAGCAGCGGACUCAUAAUCCGUUGGUCCACAGUUCAAGUCUGUGUG
This 66-nucleotide transfer RNA is filed under the name Acinetobacter johnsonii. It matches the Rfam family "tRNA", at positions 6 to 65 of the family's 71-position model. Rfam says of the family: Transfer RNA (tRNA) molecules are approximately 80 nucleotides in length. Their secondary structure includes four short double-helical elements and three loops (D, anti-codon, and T loops). RNAcentral also lists the same sequence under 5 other names. Lineage: Bacteria; Pseudomonadati; Pseudomonadota; Gammaproteobacteria; Moraxellales; Moraxellaceae. The record is from RNAcentral.